RNAcentral lists this transfer RNA (73 nucleotides) under Chloroflexota bacterium. RNAcentral's name for it is "tRNA-Lys". It matches the Rfam family "tRNA". From Rfam's summary of the family: Transfer RNA (tRNA) molecules are approximately 80 nucleotides in length. Their secondary structure includes four short double-helical elements and three loops (D, anti-codon, and T loops). Further hydrogen bonds mediate the characteristic L-shaped molecular structure. tRNAs have two regions of fundamental functional importance: the anti-codon, which is responsible for specific mRNA codon recognition, and the 3' end, to which the tRNAs corresponding amino acid is attached (by aminoacyl-tRNA synthetases). tRNAs cope with the degeneracy of the genetic code in two manners: having more than one tRNA (with a specific anti-codon) for a particular amino acid; and 'wobble' base-pairing, i.e. permitting non-standard base-pairing at the 3rd anti-codon position. The record is from RNAcentral. Lineage: Bacteria; Bacillati; Chloroflexota. RNAcentral also lists the same sequence under 2 other names.
GGACCGCUAGCUCAAUUGGCAGAGCAACUGACUCUUAAUCAGUGGGUUCCGUGUUCGAGUCACGGGCGGUUCA